CUCCAAACCUGGAGAUGAGUAAAUACUCCUGCUUGUGAAUUUAUCUGAAUAAUUUCUUCAUGUUCUAUAAGGUGCAAACGUGGGAUUUGUAUGCAUUUGGAUACACCACGGAGGAGCUGCCCUGUGUGUCCUGAAGUACCUGAGGGUCAGUGAGCCGAGUUACAUCAGGGUAGAGGUAGAAGACCAGCCCAUCAGCAGCUCCAGGCAGGUACCCACCCUCAAACAGGGGGCAGAUCUUCCUCCAGCAGGUGAUGCCCCCCUGGCUGGUGUACUGCCCCAGAGCCGUCUCCAGCAGGAACAGGGGGAUU
Long non-coding RNA from Lepisosteus oculatus (spotted gar), 308 nucleotides. RefSeq lists it as uncharacterized. Lineage: Eukaryota; Metazoa; Chordata; Actinopteri; Semionotiformes; Lepisosteidae. The record is from RefSeq and is a predicted model, not a curated record.